RNAcentral lists this long non-coding RNA (976 nucleotides) under Setaria italica (foxtail millet). Its description in RNAcentral is "long non-coding RNA (SITA_LNC002918)". The record is from RNAcentral. Lineage: Eukaryota; Viridiplantae; Streptophyta; Magnoliopsida; Poales; Poaceae.
GAACCCAUAAUCUUUAAUCCAUUGACGACAAUGAUAAAACUGAACUGUAAAGUGGCAUAUUGACCCCACAAGAUCGUUACAUUGGAAACAAAAAGGAACACAAAGGACGAUACACUUGACAACCCGGGGUGCUCCAAUGGACAACGCAGGUAACAGUGAAGCUUCAAGACCAUUGUUACACGGUAUGCAGUCUCGCUACCAGCACCUGAGUAAAAUACAGCUUAUGUUAUAAACCACAGGAAAAGAAAUGUGACGCAACAGUAACAUGUUUUUCUACAGGUGGUCAUUUCGCAGGUUGCAGAGUAAUCAACAGAAAAUAUACCUUUCAGUCACUUACAGAUCUUCUUAUCUCAGCUGCUGAAAAUUUAACACCACUAUAUUACAUGUUCUACCAACAAUGUUCCUGCCUUAAUUUGCCAAGGUUUACACAAUUUUAGUCUCCCUUAGAUUUUUAUAUCUAUUGCUUAAUUUAGGAUUCACCAACCCUGAUUUUUUUGUGAUACAUAUGUCUAUAGUAAAUUCUUUCUCAGUCCACAUCAUUCCUAACAAAAAACAAUAGAAGACAAUAACUACUGAAGUCGAGUUAAAAUCAAAAGCAAAAAAGAAACAUAAACCAAGUUCAAGUGAGUUAAACAACAAGAGUCAAUGUCGAUAAAUUCCGUUUACCAAAUCCGGGAAGAAGGGUCACCAACUAUGAUCAGGCGGGCAUUGGCCCUUGUCUCUAAUGAGGCAAUCACAAAAGAUGGCACACGUCUCCUUGAUCACAAACGGUGAGCAGGGCGCAUAGCAAGCUCUUGCAGCCACGUUAGGGCAGCAAGCUUGCUUGGCGGCCUCGACUUGGAUCGGUGGUGCUGCAACUAGAAAGAUCAUGACUGCCACUAUGGCCAAGCUCUUAAGGCACUUUCCAUCCAUAUUAUUAACACACAGAGAGAUGAGGUAGGGAGAGAGAGAAGAUCGAGUUGCUGUGUACUCAACU